RNAcentral lists this transfer RNA (69 nucleotides) under Ictidomys tridecemlineatus (thirteen-lined ground squirrel). Its description in RNAcentral is "Spermophilus tridecemlineatus (thirteen-lined ground squirrel) tRNA". It matches the Rfam family "tRNA". Rfam says of the family: Transfer RNA (tRNA) molecules are approximately 80 nucleotides in length. Their secondary structure includes four short double-helical elements and three loops (D, anti-codon, and T loops). The record is from Rfam by way of RNAcentral. Lineage: Eukaryota; Metazoa; Chordata; Mammalia; Rodentia; Sciuridae.
GGGGUUGUGGCUCAGUGGCAGAGCACUUGCCUUGUAUAUGUGAGACACUGGGUUUGAUCCACAGCCCCA